Arachis ipaensis is the source of this 118-nucleotide non-coding RNA. Lineage: Eukaryota; Viridiplantae; Streptophyta; Magnoliopsida; Fabales; Fabaceae. The record is from RefSeq and is a predicted model, not a curated record.
UCCUAAAUGGCCUGGUGUUUCUUCUUGUCUGGAAAAGCUUUUUGUGAGAGCCAUUCAAGAGCUAUGGCAGUGGUGGUCGCGGUUAUUGCACGUGGUGGUGGAUACAGAGGAGGAGGAG